CCCACACCCAGAACAUCAGCUCCUCCCUGAGUCUCCAGCUGAGCAUCCCUCAACGCCAACAACAUCAACUCCUCCCCUGAGCCCUUCAGCCGUGCAUGACCAAACUGAACACCAUCAGCCCUCCCACCCCCACCUGCACAACCUUCACCUAGAACACCUGCCCUCCUCGGUCUUCAGCUGCACGCACCCUCACCCAGAACAUCCGCCUCCUCCCCCAGGUCUCCAGCUCCAUGACCCUCAAUCUAGAACAUUAGCUUUUCCCUGAGUCUCCAGCUGAAAGACCCUCAAUGCAACAACAUCAGCUCCUCCUGGAGUUCUCCUCAGCCCACCCUCAAACUGGAACAUCAGCUCCUCCCCACCCCCACCU
RNAcentral lists this long non-coding RNA (367 nucleotides) under Papio anubis (olive baboon). RNAcentral describes it as "lncRNA (ENSPANG00000051114.1)". The record is from RNAcentral. Lineage: Eukaryota; Metazoa; Chordata; Mammalia; Primates; Cercopithecidae.